RNAcentral lists this signal recognition particle RNA (266 nucleotides) under Oscillospiraceae bacterium. RNAcentral describes it as "signal recognition particle sRNA large type". It matches the Rfam family "Bacterial large signal recognition particle RNA". Rfam says of the family: The signal recognition particle (SRP) is a universally conserved ribonucleoprotein involved in the co-translational targeting of proteins to membranes. Archaeal SRP consists of a 7S RNA and homologues of the eukaryotic SRP19 and SRP54 proteins. The record is from RNAcentral. Lineage: Bacteria; Bacillati; Bacillota; Clostridia; Eubacteriales; Oscillospiraceae.
UCGUGCUAGCUGGGGAGACAGCGGUGCCUUGUAACCCGCAAUCCGCUACAGCGGGGGUGAACUCCGGACCGAGGCUGCGUACAGUUUUGAUUGGUCUAUACGGACAGUGUUGAAGGCGCGGUCUCGCGCAAGCCGCAGCGGUGAACCGGGUCAGGGGAGAGAUUCAGCAGCCCUAAGCCGUGCCGCGGUUGUGCCGCGAGGGUGCCGCGCCCGAGCUGUUUGUAUAGGUGCCGGGAAGUGUAUGUCAGUCGAAGUCCGGUGCGCGG